This is an RNA transcript of Ixodes scapularis (black-legged tick), 2374 nucleotides long. RefSeq lists it as uncharacterized. The transcript has 3 exons. The record is from RefSeq and is a predicted model, not a curated record. Lineage: Eukaryota; Metazoa; Arthropoda; Arachnida; Ixodida; Ixodidae.
ACAACACUGAGAGCGUCGCCAUAUUGAGUUUGUCAAUCGUCGUGAGAGAAAACCGAAGCCGCCCAAGCACUGGAAGCAUCGGAAACACCCCGUACGGGCAGUGUGCGAUGGCAGGGCCGCGGUGUUUUCCGCCUUCCGACCAUAGAAUGUGGACAAACAGCCUGACUAACUUGCCUCCGCUAUCGGACGAAACUCUCGGGGGCCUUUGCACGAUGGCGACAACCUCGUCAAAGCAGCGGAGCAAGUCCUACGUCUUCGCUGUGGAAGCCUACACAGUGCCGUCUUCCGUGCGGACGAACAUCUGCGAUUCAAGCCUUGGGAUCGUCUACGGCCGAGCGGUGUGCUACCGGAGCCAGAAAAAAACUGGUCUGCCCUACAACGUCCUCCUGGCGUUCAAGGCUGACAGCGGUGAAGUUACAGAAUCAAAAUGCGCGUGUCCUGCUGGUGCAGGGGGUGCGUGCAGCCAUAUACUUGCUGUUCUACGGCUGUUUAUUUUGUUGAAGAAAGAGGGAUUUAAAGAGGCACCGCCUGAGCUCUCAUGCACAGAACUUCCCCAACAAUGGGGGCGCCCUCGCCGACAAGGCAUCAAGCCGAUGAGCGUCCAGGAUGUAGACUGGAGGAGUUCUCGGGAGGGUGGCAUGGAGAUGGCAAUGCCAGUGCAGCUCUACGAUGCACGAGCUGAGAAGCAGGAGGACGAACAACAACUGCAGUCUUUUCAUGCACUAGGAAGGGGCCUCGAGAACAUUGGAAACUCUGACUUCGCGUCAGUUCUCCUAGCAGCACGAAGGCAGUCUGUGGAAACAAAACUCGGACCUGCCCCUGCCGGCUCUCCAAUGUCCUACCAGCAAGCUCAACUACCUGCAGGCUUCACAACAUGGAUGUCUGACAACAUUGUCAUGGGAGCAGGCACCAUCAGCUUAGUUCCAGUACCGUCUUUCUUCAACAGAGCUUCAGAGCCAACAUUCCCUGGCGGGUUGAGCGCUCAAGAAUUGAGCAUAUUGACAGAAAUCCAGCUUUCACCAGAGGAGGCGAGAGACCUGGAGCGUAAUACCAGGCAGCAGCGACACAGUCAACGCUGGAAGAAAGCACGGCUGAACAGACUAACUGCAUCGCGUUUCGGAUGUGUCAUCACACGCAAAGAGUGGACGGAGAAGGGCCUCAAGAACCUAAUUGAGCCAAAGGACCUGACACGCGUUCGUGCUGUUCAGUACGGGAUAAGAAACGAAAGCAUGGCCAAGGACCGGUAUGUUGCUGUGAUGAAGAACUAUGGACACAAUGUGUCAAUUCAGCCCAACGGCCUAUUUGUAGAUCCAUCAUGCCCCUGGCUAGGUGCAACGCCCGACGGACUAGUCUAUGACCCAGAAGAGCUGUCGUACGGUAUUCUAGAAGUCAAGUGCCCACAUUCUCUCAAAGACAGUGAGCCAGACUAUGCAAAGAAACAAAAGUUUUCUCUAGUUUUUGGAGAGAAUGACAAGCCACAGCUAGACAGAGACCACGAUCACUAUGCCCAGGUUGUGGGGCAGAUGGCUCUGACUGGCUGUUUGUGGGGAGACUACGUUGCUUGCUCGGAGAAAUGGAUCGGCGUCGACCGUAUUCGAUUUGAUCAAAAUGAAUGGCUCGAAAUGCGCAAAAAGCUGGACAGCUUUUUCUUUGCAUACAACCUUCCCUAUCUUGUCAGGAGGCAGGACACGUGCUAGUGUCUAAAACAAAAGGCAAUGGGUAAAAGCCACUUGGAGAGUGGAAAUGCUUUCCUCACAUUCCUAAGUAGCACACUUGACCGGCGUAAGCUAGAGCCAUACCUGGCCCAAGCUUGCGCCGGUCAAGUGUCCUACUUGGGUUAUGUACACAUUGCGACAUUGUUAGCGCAAACACAACAUAACUGCAUUUUCUCAUUUACUUCGAACGAGUAUUAGUGGGGUGCAAAAUUUUACCGCCUACAUUAUAGCCCUAAUUGAUCCCUUUCCAUUAAAUAAAAACUAAUUACACUGUUUCGAUUUCAAAAGGAAAAAAAAUGUGAUAGCUUUUUUGCGCUAACAACGUCGCACUCUGUACGGCACCAUACAUUUCAGCACUAUCGUUAUGGGCUGUAAAGGUGCCCUGGUGUUGCCGUGUAGGUGGAACCUUACGGAUUGCUGUGUUUGCAGUAGUUAUUGCUUUCCAACGUUCAUUUCCAAGCUGUCUAGUGAGAGGUGUUAGUGCUAAAGAUGUUGAGUUACAUACAUUUCUGGAUCUGCAUGUUGGUGAUAUUCACUAGUCGCAGCUACCGCUGUAAUGAGCAGACACUACUGCUAAACUGAAAGUGACAUUUUGUACUAAAUUUUAUUUUGUUCACAUUCAAUAUGGAACCGACAGAUAAAGAAGAAUCAGGAGCGCC